AUUGAACGCUGGCGGCAUGCCUUACACAUGCAAGUCGAACGGUAACAGGUCUUCGGAUGCUGACGAGUGGCGAACGGGUGAGUAAUACAUCGGAACGUGCCCGAUCGUGGGGGAUAACGAAGCGAAAGCUUUGCUAAUACCGCAUAAGAGCUAAGGAUGAAAGCAGGGGACCGCAAGGCCUUGCGUGAACGGAGCCGACGAUGGCAGAUUAGGUAGUUGGUGGUAUAAUAGCUUACCAAGCCGACGAUCUGUAGCUGGUCUGAGAGGACGACCAGCCACACUGGGACUGAGACACGGUCCAGACUCAUACGGGAGGCAGCAGUGGGGAAUUUUGGACAAGGGGCGAAAGCCUGAUCCAGCCAUGCCGCGUGCAGGAUGAAGGCCUUCGGGUUGUAAACUGCUUUUGUACGGAACGAAAAGACUCUUUCUAAUAAAGAGGGUCCAUGACGGUACCGUAAGAAUAAGCACCGGCUAACUACGUGCCAGCAGCCGCGGUAA
Molecule: ribosomal RNA, 498 nt
Filed under: uncultured bacterium
Lineage: Bacteria
Description: partial 16S ribosomal RNA
Rfam family: Bacterial small subunit ribosomal RNA
Source: RNAcentral